UCAACGUGUAGGAUAGGCUUUGGUGCAGCAUCUUGUGGAAUCAUUUUUCCUCUUCUCUUUAUUGAGAAAGAGGUGAAGAUGUUGAUGGAACGUUGUCGCUCGUCCACACAGACUCGUGUGUCCUGCCAUUGGUAGACCAGCAGAAUGACAGGAGGAAUGCCAGCUCCUGAGCAGAGCCCAGUGACGGAGGAGAGGCUUCUGCUGACCAUUCGUGACAGUUCAGCUGGCCGCAAAAUGGAGACCGACAACACAGCCAAUAACAUCCUGGCCUCCGUUA
Long non-coding RNA from Poecilia latipinna (sailfin molly), 277 nucleotides. RefSeq lists it as uncharacterized. The transcript is spliced from 2 exons. NCBI's taxonomy places the organism in Eukaryota, Metazoa, Chordata, Actinopteri, Cyprinodontiformes, Poeciliidae. The record is from RefSeq and is a predicted model, not a curated record.